AGAGGGUGCAAGCGUUAAUCGGAAUUACUGGGCGUAAAGCGCUCGUAGGUGGUUUAUCAAGUUGGCUGUGAAAGCCCCGGGCUUAACCUGGGAAGGCCAGUCAAAACUGACUGACUAGAGUACAGUAGAGGGUAGUGGAAUUUCCGGUGUAGCGGUGAAAUGCGUAGAUAUCGGAAGGAACAUCAGUGGCGAAGGCGGCUACCUGGACUGAUACUGACACUGAGGAGCGAAAGCGUGGGGAGCGAACAGGGAUUAGAUACCCUGGUAGUCCACGCCGUAAACGAUGAGAACUAGCCCGUUGGAACCCCUUAGGGUUUUAGUGGCGCAGCUAACGCGUUAAGUUCUCCGCCUGGGGAGUACGGCCGCAAGGUUA
This 373-nucleotide ribosomal RNA is filed under the name uncultured organism. RNAcentral's name for it is "partial 16S ribosomal RNA". It matches the Rfam family "Bacterial small subunit ribosomal RNA", at positions 527 to 896 of the family's 1533-position model. The record is from RNAcentral.